Molecule: long non-coding RNA, 680 nt
Filed under: Homo sapiens (human)
Lineage: Eukaryota; Metazoa; Chordata; Mammalia; Primates; Hominidae
Description: non-protein coding SNHG27:14
Source: RNAcentral
UCUUGUGUCUUGUCUAUAGGAAGGGAGUGUAUCCUGGUGUAUGACAGCAUAUAGUAGAGACCAGUGUCAAUUAGGGCCUGUGAACUGAGACAGGGUGACUGGCUAAGUCCACAACCCAUUAGAAACCCAGAAAUAAUCAAAUCAUGGAGAGAUUAGUCCAGGGACAAUAAAUAUGGAUUAGGGAAGAAUGUGUUAACUCAGCAGGCCAGGGUUUCUUCAACCCUGCACAUUCAAAGAGGGAUCAUGGAAAGGAAGCUGAAUUUGCUGAGUUUUGCCACGUGGGCAUUGCAUGCCUAUGUGAUUAACCACCAAUAAAAACCUGGGACAUCAAAAAAUAAAUAAGCUGCUUUAAUUGCCAAGAAUUCACAUGUGGUUGUAUGCAGCAUUACUGGGAGAUUGAAGUGUAUCUGCAUGUGAUUCUACUGUGAUGGACACUUGUAAAUUUGUGCCUGGAGUCUCCUGGAAUUUGCCCUGAGAAUCUUUUUCCUUUGUUGAUAAGAAUCUGCAUCCUUUUGUUUUAAUAAACGAUAAACAUGAGUAUAAUUGCUUCUCUGAGUUCUGAGAGUUUUUUAAAUAAAUAAUCAAAGCUGAAAAGCAAUGGAGACCCCCACCAAAACAUCUUUACACAUUUCAAUUUUGUAUUGAAGUAAAUUUUAUUUUCUUUUUUAUACCUCCCGUAU